UACGUAGGGUGCGAGCGUUGUCCGGAAUUAUUGGGCGUAAAGAGCGCGUAGGCGGUGUGUCGCGUCGGCCGUGAAAACCUGCAGCUUAACUGUGGGCGUGCGGUCGAUACGGGCAUCACUGGAGUUCGGCAGGGGAGACUGGAAUUCCUGGUGUAGCGGUGAAAUGCGCAGAUAUCAGGAGGAACACCGGUGGCGAAGGCGGGUCUCUGGGCCGAUACUGACGCUGAGGAGCGAAAGCGUGGGGAGCGAACAGG
Molecule: ribosomal RNA, 254 nt
Filed under: uncultured bacterium
Lineage: Bacteria
Description: partial 16S ribosomal RNA
Rfam family: Bacterial small subunit ribosomal RNA
Source: RNAcentral